This 584-nucleotide ribosomal RNA is filed under the name uncultured Streptococcus sp. RNAcentral's name for it is "bacterial SSU rRNA". It matches the Rfam family "Bacterial small subunit ribosomal RNA", at positions 58 to 626 of the family's 1533-position model. The record is from RNAcentral. Lineage: Bacteria; Bacillati; Bacillota; Bacilli; Lactobacillales; Streptococcaceae.
CGCACAGGAUGCACCGUAGUUUACUACACCGUAUUCUGUGAGUUGCGAACGGGUGAGUAACGCGUAGGUAACCUGCCUGGUAGCGGGGGAUAACUAUUGGAAACGAUAGCUAAUACCGCAUAAGAACAUUUACUGCAUGGUAGAUGUUUAAAAGGUGCAAAUGCAUCACUACCAGAUGGACCUGCGUUGUAUUAGCUAGUAGGUGAGGUAACGGCUCACCUAGGCGACGAUACAUAGCCGACCUGAGAGGGUGAUCGGCCACACUGGGACUGAGACACGGCCCAGACUCCUACGGGAGGCAGCAGUAGGGAAUCUUCGGCAAUGGGGGGAACCCUGACCGAGCAACGCCGCGUGAGUGAAGAAGGUUUUCGGAUCGUAAAGCUCUGUUGUUAAGGAAGAACGAGUGUGAGAAUGGAAAGUUCAUACUGUGACGGUACUUAACCAGAAAGGGACGGCUAACUACGUGCCAGCAGCCGCGGUAAUACGUAGGUCCCGAGCGUUGUCCGGAUUUAUUGGGCGUAAAGCGAGCGCAGGCGGUUAGAUAAGUCUGAAGUUAAAGGCAGUGGCUCAACCAUUGUAGGCUU